GAACGGCUAAUGUUAAAGAGUAGCAAAUUCUAAAGAAUAGCUAAUAAUGUAAAGAAUGUUUAGCGAUAAAGAAUGGCUAACGAGUAAAGAAUGGAUAAGAAUAAAGAGUAGAAUCAAUUAAUCUACCUAUAUGAGUUGCAUGAUUUGCAUAUUGCAUGUUGUGAGGCAAAAGCAUGGUAAUGUUAGUAGCAUGAUUUAUGAUUUCAUAUCUAUCUAUUGGACUAAUAUGUUGUUUGCCUCCUUUGGACCUGAUGGUCGAGCUCUUCCCUUGGGUGGCCAUACCCACUAGGAACCUUGGAGUCGGUUCUCACCCCACGUUGUUUUGGGGUGUUACAGGUUCACACGCGAGCGGCGCGGCGGCGCGAGGAAAGGGCGUAGCUCCAUAGUUAGCGCCCUACCAUUGAGACCAGAUAGCAGCACCCUGAGUCGGCUUCUUAGGGUUAUAAAUGCAAAGAACCAAGAGUAUGAUAAUUGUAAGAACAAUAUUGUAAUAACUAUGUUAAAACUAGAUUGUAUUUGGAAGUAGAAAUCAUGGAAUCAAAUG
This 544-nucleotide long non-coding RNA is filed under the name Ananas comosus (pineapple). RNAcentral describes it as "long non-coding RNA (ACOM_LNC040569)". The record is from RNAcentral. Lineage: Eukaryota; Viridiplantae; Streptophyta; Magnoliopsida; Poales; Bromeliaceae.